AUGCAGCUUAUUGCUGAAGGAAGAUUCCGACAGGAUCUUCUAAGCAUGGCUGAAGUACCUGUGAGCAUCUCAACUUCUAACCACAACUACAGUGUCCAAAAGUCAGAAGUGGUGAUGGGAUAUCUGAGAGACAGAGGAACUUCUGAAAUGGAAGCGUGGUGGCUUCCUCUUCAUGAAAGACUUCAGUGUCUCUCAACACAUGUCAGCCAUGCACUGCUUAUUGUUUCUCCAGAGUGCUUUGCUGUGUUCAGAGACAGAUCUGGAAGAUAUGGAUUUUUUGAUUCCCAUUCCAGAACUGCUGAAGGUUUGCCACAUCCUACUGGUGACGGAACGGCAGUUAUGCUAACUUUCACCAACCUUCAUGACAUGACCAACAGAUUACUUGAGCUUUUUUGGAAUCGUGGUCCUCAAGCUUGCUAUGAAUUCAUGGCUGUUUCAUUUGAAAUGGAGCAACAGUCUGAGGAACCAUGCUCAUCAUUAGCAUGUGUGUCACCAUCAGAAGUAACAUCACCUCUGCCAAAAACACAAACAACUGCUGACAUCAGAAUCCCUGAAAAUCUUGUUCAGACAGAUUACAAAAACAAAAGCGUCAUAAAGGUUUUAAAAACAAACAAGCAGCGAAGAAGAAAGGAAAUGCGCAAAAUUGUUUAUGAAAAGCAAGAUGCAGGACUUGAGGGUACAUCUUUACAUUUUGAAGUACGAAAACAAAAAAGAAGAGAAUAUGAGAGAGAGAAAUAUGCCACCAAUUUUCAGUUUCGGAUGAAGAAAAAGGAGAUUACCAAAAAGAAGUAUGAUCAAGAUCCUUUUGCCAGACACAAAAAGAUGGAAUACAUUACCAGGAGGUAUAACAAGGAUGUUCUCUUCCAAAAAAAGCAGAAGGGGUACAUAAUUAAGCGGUACAACACUGAUGCUCUUUUCCAGAGGAAAAUGAAGAACUACAUGUUCAGGAGGUACAAGAUGGAUGAUCUUUUCCAAAAGAAGAAGAAGGACUACAUGUUCAAGAGGUACAAGACCGAUGACCUUUUCCAGAAGAAGAAGAAGGACUACAUGGUCAGGAGGUACCACACCGAUGCUAUUUUCCAGAAGAAGAUGAAGGAUUACAUGGCCAGAAGAUAUGCAAGUGAUUCAGAGUUUAGGUCACAUCACAUUCUACGCUGUACUCUCCAGAAGAAACAGAAGUGUCUCAGUGAUCCUGGAUUCCACAUUCUUCACAAGUUGAGGUGUGCAUUAAGGAUUAAGAGAAAAUACAGGCCAUACAUUCGUUUCAGCCAGGAGACACCCAAUUCUGUUGCGACAAACGUGCCUGUGUCCUACAGCAUAAUGCAAAAGGCCAUAUCUGCAUUUCGGUGUCAAAUUCUGCAUGGUCCAACUUACAUCUGCACAGUCUGUCACAGGACCCUUUUUCCAAAUCAAGUCAAGAUGUGUAAUAGAACACGGUAUGUCAAAAAUGUUCAUAUUACAGCCUCUUGCUUAACUGGGAAAUAUGUUCAUGCU
Long non-coding RNA from Cyprinus carpio (common carp), 1494 nucleotides. The record is from Ensembl. NCBI's taxonomy places the organism in Eukaryota, Metazoa, Chordata, Actinopteri, Cypriniformes, Cyprinidae.